Molecule: ribosomal RNA, 398 nt
Filed under: uncultured Trematosphaeria
Lineage: Eukaryota; Fungi; Ascomycota; Dothideomycetes; Pleosporales; Trematosphaeriaceae
Description: partial small subunit ribosomal RNA
Rfam family: Eukaryotic small subunit ribosomal RNA
Source: RNAcentral
GCUUGUCUCAAAGAUUAAGCCAUGCAUGUCUAAGUAUAAACUGCUUAUACUGUGAAACUGCGAAUGGCUCAUUAAAUCAGUUAUAGUUUAUUUGAUGGUACCUUCUACUCGGAUAACCGUAGUAAUUCUAGAGCUAAUACGUGCGUAAAACCCGACUUCUGGAAGGGUCGUAUAUAUUAGAUAAAAAACCAAUGCCCUUCGGGGCUCUUUGGUGAUUCAUGAUAACUUCUCAGAUCGCACGGCCUUGCGCCGGCGACGGUUCAUUCAAAUUUCUGCCCUAUCAACUUUCGAUGGUACGGUAUUGGCCUACCAUGGUUUCAACGGGUAACAGGGAAUUAGGGUUCGAUUCUGGAGAGCGAGCCUGAGAGACGGCUAGCACAUCCAAGGAAGGCAGCAGG